GUGGAAGCUGGCUUGCCUGCGAUGACUGAAUCACAGCUAGCCCAUCAGGUGACUGGCACACCGCAAUCGCAGGCAAGCCGGCUCCCAC
RNAcentral lists this unclassified non-coding RNA (88 nucleotides) under Pseudomonas antarctica. Lineage: Bacteria; Pseudomonadati; Pseudomonadota; Gammaproteobacteria; Pseudomonadales; Pseudomonadaceae. The record is from RNAcentral.